Molecule: long non-coding RNA, 371 nt
Filed under: Prunus persica (peach)
Lineage: Eukaryota; Viridiplantae; Streptophyta; Magnoliopsida; Rosales; Rosaceae
Description: long non-coding RNA (PPER_LNC004730)
Source: RNAcentral
AAUAGAUUAAUAUCCAGUGCAUAGCAAUUCCAGCAACAACAAUUAAGUAAGUCUUUUUUCUCUUUUAUUUCUGGUUUUCUUAGAAGACUUCUUAUCCAAAACAGGGAAACACUUCUAUAAUUAUGUUGUUAUCUUACUAAACUGACGAACAAUACUUUGUUUGAGCACUUGGUCAUUUUUGAUAUUUUCCAUAACAAUAAUUGGAUGUUUGUCAGGAAACCUCUAAGUUCAAAGGACCUCUGAGUUCUGCUCCAUAGCCCUUUAAGUUGGCGUUUUUGCAGUUCCAUGUUCUAGUUCCAUGUUCUAGGCAUGAUGUCUGGUUGUUAUUUUGGCUUUUAGAAACCUUGACCGAGGCCUCACUUCAAAAAUGG